AACGCGAAGAACCUUACCUACUCUUGACAUCCUAGGAAUCUUGCUGAAAGGCGAGAGUGCCUUCGGGAACCUAGAGACAGGUGCUGCAUGGCUGUCGUCAGCUCGUGUCGUGAGAUGUUGGGUUAAGUCCCGUAACGAGCGCAACCCUUGUCCUUAGUUACCAGCACGUAAUGGUGGGAACUCUAAGGAGACCGCCGGUGAUAAACCGGAGGAAGGUGGGGACGAUGUCAAGUCAUCAUGGCCUUUAUGAGUAGGGCUACACACGUGCUACAAUGGUCGGUACAGAGGGUCGCCAAGUCGCAAGACGGAGCUAAUCUCAAAAAGCCGAUCGUAGUCCAGAUCGGAGUCUGCAACUCGACUCCGUGAAGUUGGAAUCGCUAGUAAUCGCGAAUCAGCAUGUCGCGGUGAAUACGUUCCCGGGCCUUGUACACACCGCUCGUC
This 441-nucleotide ribosomal RNA is filed under the name uncultured bacterium. Its description in RNAcentral is "bacterial SSU rRNA". It matches the Rfam family "Bacterial small subunit ribosomal RNA", at positions 958 to 1398 of the family's 1533-position model. The record is from RNAcentral.